RNAcentral lists this long non-coding RNA (771 nucleotides) under Pongo abelii (Sumatran orangutan). RNAcentral's name for it is "lincRNA". Lineage: Eukaryota; Metazoa; Chordata; Mammalia; Primates; Hominidae. The record is from RNAcentral.
AAUGAACUGGGGCCAAACUGUAGAGAGCUUGGAUGAGUACCUUAGUGCAAAGAUGAAUACUUUAGUCAAUCUGUCCUUACUCCUUAACUUCGCUCCUCUUCGUUGUCCCCAAUGCUUUGUGCUCUGGUACCAGACAUUUCACAAUUGGCCAACUGUUAUCCACUUUCUCCAUCCCUACCUUAUAUGUGGAAGAAUGGAACUAACCCCAACAAGCUUCAUCAGCCACCUUUGAUUUCCCGAAGCCAAUCAGCAGGGCUUAUCUACCUAUUCACAGGAAUUGGUUCAGGGACAGACCUAGCAGACUGCUGGAGCCAGCUCCCAGGGGCUUCAGAGAGUCCACUGUGGGCCCCUCUACCGCACGCUGGGUCCAGGGACAUCACAUUGGUAGUUUGAAAUCAGCCAUGACGGGGAGAGGAAAUUGCUAGACAUUCAUCUAUCUGUAUACUACUUGGAUGAACCACACCUAAUUUAGGUCCAUGAGAAGUGAGGAGAUAUUUAAUCAGAGUUUGGAGAAACCAUGGAAAAAGAUUCUAUUCUUUUGUGUAGGGAGAGUUAUAAAGAAAUUGGAUCUAAGACUACUAAAGCCAUUUUGGCCAUCAAAGGACCUAACCAGAGGAUAGAGUUGACACACAGAGAAGAGCUGCUCUGAAAGGAUCAAAGAGGUCUGGAGUCAGAACGCUGAUGGUGUGGACUUCUGAAUCCACCCCCAAAGCCCGUAUGCCUCUUCACUUUUCAGUUAAAUGAGCCGAUAAAGUCCCUGUUUUAAAACCA